CCUGUGAAAACGCCCUUAAAUCCCCAUUAGGGAUAAGGAGCCGGUAUCAGGCACGAAAAUCUGCCCAAAACACCUAGCUAUGCCACACCCACAAGGGACUCAGCAGUGAUUAACAUUGAACAUAAGCGUCAGCUUGACUCAGUUAAAGUAAAGAGAGCCGGCAAAUCUGGUGCCAGCCGCCGCGGUUACCCCACGUGGCUCAAAUUGAUUUCUAUCGGCGUAAAGCGUGAUUAAAGUCCCCAUUAUAUUGAAGUUAAACUGAAACUAAGCUGUGACACGCUUGUUAUACAGAAAAACAUAAACGAAAGUUACUUCAACUUUUCAACUUGAAUACACGACAGCUAGGGCACAAACUGGGAUUAGAUACCCCACUAUGCCUAGCCGUAAACUUUUAAUUACACCCCCAACGCCCGAGAACUACGAGCAAAGCUUAAAACUCAAAGGACUUGACGGUACCCCAUAUCCCCCUAGAGGAGCCUGUCCUAUAAUCGAUAACCCCCGUUUAACCUCACCACUUUUAGUUUUUCAGCCUGUAUACCUCCGUCGUCAGCUUACCACGUGAGCGAAAUUUAGUGAGCUUAAUGUCCACACGCCCAUACGUCAGGUCAAGGUGCAGCAAAUGAAGUGGGAAGAGAUGGGCUACACUUUCUAUAUUAGAAAACACGAAAGACCACACAUGAAACUUGGUCAGAAGGCGGAUUUAGUAGUAAAAAGAAAUCAAAAUGUUCUUUUUAAUUCGGCACUGGGGUGUGUACACACCGCCCGUCACCCUCUUCAUAAGCCUAACUAUAGUAUUUAACCAACUUAUGCCCUAAUAGAAGAGGCAAGUCGUAACAUGGUAAGCAUACCGGAAGGUGUGCUUGGAAACAAAAUAUAGCUUAACUAAAGCACCUCGCUUACACCGAGUAAACAUCUGUGAGACCCAGAUUAUUUUGAGCCAAAAAUCUAGCCCCUCUCCCCUCAUGUAAACUCAACAUUUCAGAUUAUAAAUUAAAACAUUUUAAUGAUGGAGUAAAGGCGAUUGAAAAAUUAACAGGAGCUAUAUAUAAUGUACCGCAAGGGAAAGAUGAAAUAAAAAUGAAAUAUUUAUUAAGCACUAAAAAGUAAAGAUUAACUCUUGUACCUUUUGCAUCAUGAUUUAACUAGUUUACCCUAGCAAAACGAUUUUUAGUUUGACUUCCCGAAACUAAGUGCUACUUCAAGGCAGCUUAAUGAGCAAAUCCGUCUCUGUUGCAAAAGAGUGGAAAGACCUUCAAGUAGGGGUGAUAAACCUAACGAGCUUAGUGAUAGCUGGUUACUCAAGAAAAGGAUCUAAGUCCAACCUAAAGCUUAAUUUAAUACCACAAAAUUAAAAACUCAACUUUAGAGCAAUUCAAUUAAGGUACAGCCUACUUGAAACAGGAUACAACCUCAACUAACNNNUUAUUUUAACCAUCAACACACUUAAGUUGGCCUAAGAGCAGCCACCUUUUAAAUAGCGUCAAAGCUUAGCCAUGCAACUGUUUAAUCUCAACAACACCUUUUAACCCUUUACUACUAUUGAGUACUUCUAUAUACCUAUAGAACUUUUUAUGUUAAAACUAGUAACAAGAACCAGACCUUCUCUUAUAUGUCAGUGUACAUCAGUAAGGACACACCACUGAUAAUUAACACCAAUGAACUAAAAGUAGCAACUCAACAAGAAAACUCUUCUUAAUAAUAUGUUAACCUAACACAAGUGCAUUCCAAGAAAGAUUUAAAGAAAAAGAAGGAACUCGGCAAACAUUAACCUCGCCUGUUUACCAAAAACAUCGCCUCUUGUAAAAAUUUAAGAGGUCCAGCCUGCCCAGUGACUCUGUUCAACGGCCGCGGUAUCCUAACCGUGCAAAGGUAGCGUAAUCAAUUGUUCUUUAAAUAAGGACUAGUAUGAAUGGCACCACGAAGGUUACACUGUCUCCUUUUUCUAAUCAGUGAAACUAAUCUUCCCGUGAAGAAGCGGGAAUAAUUAUAUAAGACGAGAAGACCCUAUGGAGCUUUAAACAAAAUAACAACUGCUAACUAAAUCUUAAUUUCAGAAAACCAAUCUUUAUCCUAGCAUUGUGAUUACUAGUUUUAGGUUGGGGUGACCGCGGAGCAAAAAACAACCUCCAUAUUGAAAGAAUUAUAAUUCUAAGCAAAAAGCUACAACUUUAAGCAUCAACAAAUUGACAUCUAUUGACCCAAUAUUUUGAUCAACGAACCAAGUUACCCUAGGGAUAACAGCGCUAUCCACUUUAAGAGCCCCUAUCGACAAGUGGGCUUACGACCUCGAUGUUGGAUCAGGGUACCCC
This 2309-nucleotide non-coding RNA is filed under the name Phantasmarana lutzae. RNAcentral describes it as "partial small subunit ribosomal RNA". The stretch from base 1 to 876 matches the Rfam family "Bacterial small subunit ribosomal RNA", at positions 318 to 1533 of the family's 1533-position model. Lineage: Eukaryota; Metazoa; Chordata; Amphibia; Anura; Hylodidae. The record is from RNAcentral.